AGAAUGAAAUAUGAGUUACACCUCUAAUUUUUUGAAAACUAGCAAAAACACCAACCUUGAUUACUUUACUUAAAACAUACAACUGAAUAUGCUCUGAAAGAGUAAUAUCUCGCAAUGAAUAGUCACAUUAUAUCAUAAACUUAAAUAUCAAAGAGAGAAUAUUUUUAUUUAGUUAAUUGUUUAUUACAAUAUAGUACAAUAAAUAAAAAAUAUUCCACUAAUUCAAAUGUCAAGAUUAAAUUACAAGCUUUUCUCAGGUUAUAAUACAUUAUUACUAUCCAUUCCGAAUAAGUUACAUGUAGUUCCAAUUUCAUGUAUACAUCUAAUAUGUAAUGAGUUCUUUUGAUGGCUACAUAUAACAAGAACAAUUUACUUAAUAAUAUAACACUUGACAUGAUUAAAGUGAAAAUCAAUUUAAGCAUGUUGAGUUAACACCCAACAAUAUAUAAAUUCUGCACUUUCUUUUUGAAUUCCUUGAAAAGUGAUCACUUAUCACGCUUAAAACUCUUGCUCUAUGAUUAGUCCGUGAACAAAACUAAUUGAUAAGGAGAUAAUGAGGUCCUUUUCUAUUGAAAAAAAAUUAGGGCAAAAUUUGAAUAUAAAUAGAUAAAUGCAACAAUCAAAAAGCGAGACGGAAAAAAGUGAAAACAAGUUUUGAGAUGUUUUUCAAAUUCCAAAUAUAACUUGAAUAUGAAAUUGUAACAGUGCUAAAUACUAAUUUUCAAAUAAAAUUAGAAUAAAUAAUUUUUCGCAUUAAUUAGUGUAACUUGGUACUUUAAUAUGUCAAUUAAUUAAGGUUUUACAUAUGAAGCUUUCUGAACUUAUUUUUUACGAUACCUUAAAAAAGAUAAGAUAAAAUAAGUUGAAUAUGUCGUCUGAAUUUUUGUAGAGGGAUUGCACCAUUAGUGAAUUUAGAUAGUAUGUUGCCAUGAAUAGAUUGAAUAUGUUAAAAAUAAAUAUUCUAAACUAGUACCAUUUUGCAAUUUUCAUACUUAGAUUGAAAAAUCCUUCAUUGAAUAUGUGAAAAUAUUUGAAAUACCUUGUUGAGAGACAUGUGGAAAAUGAAAAAAGUCUUAACAAUGAAUUCACCUAACACAACAAGAUCAUGGUGGUUCACAGAAUUCUAUAAAUAUCUAAUAAUUUAUGUAAUUAUGUAUGAAACUCACAAAACAAUGGUAGUUUGAAAGAGUUCUAAACUAUUAACUCAGAAAAAACUUCAUGUGUAUUGCCACUUGAUACUCUUUGGAGAAGCUUUUGAACAGUGAUCUGCACCUAGCAUGUCAUUUUCCUCUAAGGAAUAUUUUAUUACGAAUUUAUGCUAAUUAAGGGGUGUUCUGUAAAUACCUAAUAAUUUAGAUAUGAAACUUACCAAAUAGUGCUAGAUGAGCGAGCUUACAAUGCUCAGCAAUACAUAUGUAAGUAAAUGGAUACAAAUCUGUUAAAGAGAAUAGACUUAAGACUUACAAAAUUACUAAACAAAAGUAGGAGUGCAAGAAAGUAAGCAAAAUUUUUGAAUCUAGUUGUCUUAAAUUAAAGAUAUGUCAAAUGUAUUAAGAUUUUAGAUGCACUUUAAUAUUGAGGUCUUCAACAUGUCAGGUGGAACGUUCAAAUUAAAUAGUUGCUAAAAAAGGAAAGAGUCAUUCUUUUUUAAGAGAACUAAAAAAAAUAGGCCAAAUAAAUUGAAUGUAGAGAGUAUGUUUCAUAUACACAACUUUACACACUGUACUGAACCUUUUAACUCAUAAAGCAAUACAUUCUUAAAUUUGUCAAAUUGCAAGAGAUCUCACCUCAUCCACUUUCCAGAGGUCUUCUUCACACUUAUACAUAUGUUUCAUAUACACAAGUUUACACAUUUUACUGGAUCUUUAACUCAUGAAGCAGUACAUUCUUAAGGUUGUCAAAUUGCAAGAGAUCUCACCUCAUCCACUUUCCAGAGGUCUUCUUCACACUUAUACAUAUGUUUCAUAUACACAAGUUUACACAUUUUACUGGAUCUUUAACUCAUGAAGCAGUACAUUCUUAAGGUUGUCAAAUUGCAAGAGAUCUCACCUCAUCCACUUUUUAGAGGUCUUAUUCAUUCUCAUACCACCUCAUCAGCCCUUCAUCAUUUAGGGGUCGUUUGGUAGGCGGCAUUAGAAGAAAUAGUCCAUGUAUUAUGUAAGGUAUUAUUUAGUACUAUGUUUGGUAGGAAUCUAUGUAUAACUAAUCCAUGGAUUAGUUAAACCUCCUACAUGGUAUUAUAGGAAUUAUUACUAAUACCUUCCAUUUGGAGGUAUUAGUAAUACAUAGGAUAUAAUACCAUGGGAUAAGUCUAUGUAAAGACAAAAAUAUCCCUCAAAUCAUUUUAAUUAUUUUGUUUAUUUUCUUGAUUUUAUGAUUUAUAUUAGUGCUAGUAAAUUUAUUUAAAUAAAUUAGCUUACAAAUUAUUUAGGGAGAGUUGUUUAUUACUAAAUAAAUCUAAUACAAAUUUGAAAUGUGAGUUGUUUAUUUGUAUAUAACGUUUGUGAUCUUAAUUGAAUGUGUGUAUAUAUGUAUGUAUAUAUAUAUAAAUAUACACACAUUUGUGUGGUUUUCUAAUUAUUUUAUUUUGAACAAUUUAAAAAAUCACAUACAUAUUAAAACUACAACUUGCAAUUUUUAUGUGUAAAUUUAGAUGGUUUAUUUAAUUUUACCAUUUUGACCGUCUUUUCAAUUUUAAAAGUAGACUAUUUAUCUUUUUUAAAUUGAAAAAUUACAUUAUGUGAGUAAUCAAUUUAUUAAGAGGUCAAUUAUUUAUCCUCAAAUAAUUCAAGUGAAAAAAUAGCAAACAUGACAACAAAAUUUUUCUUCUCAUAGCUAGUUAGAAGGCCAUAAAAAUAAUAAUAUUAUCUGGUAGUAAUCUAUCUUGACUCAAUUACAUAAUAAUUCAAGGGUAUAAUUGGAAAAAAGUUUUUU
RNAcentral lists this long non-coding RNA (2934 nucleotides) under Solanum tuberosum (potato). Its description in RNAcentral is "long non-coding RNA (STUB_LNC003746)". The record is from RNAcentral. Lineage: Eukaryota; Viridiplantae; Streptophyta; Magnoliopsida; Solanales; Solanaceae.